GAGGAGAUUGUUGGUCUUGGGCCUUAUUUUCUUCCAUCCCAACUUUGGGCUUGUGCUGGUCACGUGCCCAACUAAAGGGGACAGCUGACGGGUGGGGUUUUACCCCUUGAUUUCUCAUGCAGCAGAGAAGGGGCUGAGGCUUCAAAAGGAAAAAAAGGGAAGAAGGGAGAAGAGGGAGGAAGAAAAGAAGAAGAAGCUACUGGUCUUGCCUUUCUCUUGUGCUCCACCACAGUUCCGGAGAUUGGGAUUACUCUUUGAUCUCUUCCAAGUGGGUAUCCUUUGGGAGGCCUUGAUGUGGUGAGGAAGUAGGAUUUUUCAUCCUAGUUAGGUAAUCUCUGUAUCUCCCUCUAUUUUGUGGACACCUCAAAGUAUUUUUUUGGGCAAAACUUAAGAAGAACUCUCUUGUAUUUGCUUGUUGAUAUAGUGGAUUCUUCGUUGGUUGGCCCCGUGGUUUUUUCCCCCAAUCUUAUGGGGGUUUCCACGUAAAUUUGUUGUCUUUUUAUGUGGUUUGCUUGGCUCUAUCUUGUGAGAUUAUUACUUGCUUGGAUUAUUGUUGUUUGCUCCGUUGCUAUACCC
RNAcentral lists this long non-coding RNA (576 nucleotides) under Elaeis guineensis (African oil palm). RNAcentral's name for it is "long non-coding RNA (EGUI_LNC013833)". Lineage: Eukaryota; Viridiplantae; Streptophyta; Magnoliopsida; Arecales; Arecaceae. The record is from RNAcentral.